This is a non-coding RNA of Aphanomyces astaci, 45 nucleotides long. The record is from Rfam. Lineage: Eukaryota; Oomycota; Saprolegniomycetes; Saprolegniales; Verrucalvaceae.
ACUCUGGUGUUUUUCAACACCACCCAUUCACUCGAGAAUUUUUAC